GUUCUUUCUUUUAUGACUGGUGCCGGUUUAAAAGCCGGAGAAUAGGGAAGUACGUGAGAUUCGUACACUGUACCCGCAACUGUAGACGCGGUCAACUGUUGUUUUUUUGCAUGGCCUCAUGCCAGGAAAUAACAGGCGCUAUUGAUCACUGUGAUUUUUCCUCCCGGAAAAGCGCGGGAAGGUCAACAGCAUAAGUAUGCCGCAAAAGUCAGGAGACCUGCCAGUUAUUCAUUGCUUGU
This 239-nucleotide non-coding RNA is filed under the name Chlorobium phaeobacteroides. The record is from RNAcentral. Lineage: Bacteria; Pseudomonadati; Chlorobiota; Chlorobiia; Chlorobiales; Chlorobiaceae.